CCCAGCGAGGCUGCGAAGGCGGCGGCACUGCUGGCCUUUUCAUCGGCUGACCUACCGCUUUCGCAGCCUCGCUAAA
This 76-nucleotide non-coding RNA is filed under the name Pseudomonas lurida. The record is from RNAcentral. Lineage: Bacteria; Pseudomonadati; Pseudomonadota; Gammaproteobacteria; Pseudomonadales; Pseudomonadaceae.